CCACUACCUCUGAACCCCAGUUGCUCUAUAACAAUCCUGUAUUUUCCUCUGAUAUUCUCAACUCUGUUCUGCUUCUCUUUUGUUUUGUCGUUCUUACUUCAUUGGUGUCCUUGUUGUUCUAACCGAUUGGAUUGGUGCUGCUGCUGCUAAGACGUAUGCCCUGCUCUCUGGUUUCUAUUUUUCCGAGUACCAGAGCUGCUGCUCCAUUCCCGUAUUUCUUUUGGUAAGAUAGGUUUUGUUCUACAAUCAAUAUUCUGAUUACUGCUCCUUUGAUGAUCUGUUCUGUUUUACCCUUGUGUUUGCUUCAGCCUCUAUUAAAUUCC
RNAcentral lists this long non-coding RNA (323 nucleotides) under Arachis ipaensis. Its description in RNAcentral is "long non-coding RNA (AIPA_LNC001235)". Lineage: Eukaryota; Viridiplantae; Streptophyta; Magnoliopsida; Fabales; Fabaceae. The record is from RNAcentral.